UCCUGGCUAGAACUCAGUGGGCAGAGCAUGAGACUCUUAACCUCAGGGCUGUGGGUUCGAGCCCCAUGUUGGGCA
Podarcis lilfordi (Lilford's wall lizard) is the source of this 75-nucleotide non-coding RNA. NCBI's taxonomy places the organism in Eukaryota, Metazoa, Chordata, Lepidosauria, Squamata, Lacertidae. The record is from the annotation of a GenBank genome assembly.